Molecule: long non-coding RNA, 1039 nt
Organism: Raphanus sativus (radish)
Lineage: Eukaryota; Viridiplantae; Streptophyta; Magnoliopsida; Brassicales; Brassicaceae
Exons: 7
Source: RefSeq, a predicted model, not a curated record
ACAAAUUCACUCUCACAACAUUUGCCACGUGUCACGUUUAUUGAAACUCAUUGUUUCACUAAAAGAUGUGGGAUUUACGUUUUUUUUUCGACAAAUAAACAAAAAGUCUUCUUCUUCUAUCUCUGAACAGCCAUGACCUUAUGUCUUCUCUUCAGAUAAACGAAACGUUUCUCCUAAUUGAUUCAUCCCUUUAUCAUGCUUCUCAACACCAUCACCCCUCUUUGAACACGACCUGUUUAGAGAAAACGAGGAUAUCAGCAUGAUGCCAAUACCUUGGAGGCUUGGAGCGAUGGUGAUCUUCCUGCCUAAACCGAACUGUUUUCUCUGCGUUCCCAUCCCUGCUUUCGCCGGUAACUUGCUUAGCCUUAGGAAAUGUUUUAAGAAGCCAGAAGCGAGCUCAUGGGUGAAUCUAAGGCGACACUUAUGCCAACAACCGUGAACCACCCCAGCUGAGAAGUUCCAGUUUUGAAAGUAUGAACAACUACAGGCUGUGACUAAUGCUGGCUUUGAUUUGCCGGAUCGAUACUCCACUGAAUGAGAGGGGAUGGAAGAGUUCUACUGAUGGUUCUACUUCUCCACCACAAUGGAGCUGCGAAAAUAGGAACAAGCUUACAGUGAAUUAAGGUCUGAUUCAUGUGUUUGUCACAGGUUGUUAUUAACUCUGUUUGUGCUAUAUACAAUACAAGUGCUUCUCUCAAGCUGUCUGAUUAUUUUCUAUUGAUUUAUAACUCUUUGGAUGAAGAUGAGAUGCUAAGAAAGCUGAGGAGUUUGCAAGGUUUGGUGAUCAAAUUGGACUAAAUGAGAAGGCUUUAGGCUACAGAGAAACAAAGAAUUAGCAAAGAUCAGUUACAAAUGUAAGAGCUCCCCCACAUGCAUCACAUGGUCUGUAAGAAAUAAUAUUCUUGGCUUAAGACAUGCAUCACUUUCCCAUUUUUAGAUUCUAUCACCUUAUUUUCAAAUUUUUUAUUACUUCCUCCACUAUUCACUUCAAAAUUCUGAUUCUAUUUUAUAAAAUCAUAAAAUAUGUUCAUUAGGCCAA